AAGUCGUAACNNNNNNNCCGUAGGUGAACCUGCGGAAGGAUCAUUACUGAGUUUUUAACUCUCCAAACCAUGUGAACUUACCACUGUUGCCUCGGUGGUCGGUGCUGGAAACAGUGCUGCCACCGGUGGACUACUAAACUCUUGUUAAUUUUUGUCAAAUCUGAAUCAAAACUAAGAAAUAAGUUAAAACUUUCAACAACGGAUCUCUUGGUUCUGGCAUCGAUGAAGAACGCAGCGAAAUGCGAUAAGUAAUGUGAAUUGCAGAAUUCAGUGAAUCAUCGAAUCUUUGAACGCACAUUGCGCCCAUUAGUAUUCUAGUGGGCAUGCCUGUUCGAGCGUCAUUUCAACCCUUAAGCCUAGCUUAGUGUUGGGAGACUGCCUAAUACGCAGCUCCUCAAAACCAGUGGCGGAGUCUGUUCGUGCUCUGAGCGUAGUAAUUUUUUAUCUCGCUUCUGCAAGCCGGCCAGACGACAGCCAUAAACCGCACCCUCUCGGGGGGCACUUUUUUAAUGGUUGACCUCGGAUCAGGUAGGAAUACCCGCUGAACUUA
This 550-nucleotide ribosomal RNA is filed under the name uncultured fungus. RNAcentral describes it as "eukaryotic LSU rRNA". The stretch from base 188 to 341 matches the Rfam family "5.8S ribosomal RNA". Lineage: Eukaryota; Fungi. The record is from RNAcentral.